GUUCUGUAUAAAUAUUGGUAUAUCAAUAUCCUAAUGCAGUGAGUAUAAAUCUGCACUGAGCACAACUAUGCAUGCCUCUAGUGGGCUAGGGCUUCAUCUCAUCAAUGAGAUGAAGUGAUGAUGGUGUCUAGUGUCCCUAAAAUUUUGUUAAAAAUCUAUAAUUUGCUAAAUAGGUGGUUGGUACGUGUUAUAGAAAGGUUUGGUUUGAGGUUACCUAAUGUGGCAAUGUUACCCUUUAGGAGUGUGCUUACAUUAACAGUUAUGGUGAAUAAGUGUCUGCACCCAAAGCCCUCACCGACUCUUGC
This is a non-coding RNA of Pelobates cultripes (western spadefoot toad), 305 nucleotides long. NCBI's taxonomy places the organism in Eukaryota, Metazoa, Chordata, Amphibia, Anura, Pelobatidae. The record is from the annotation of a GenBank genome assembly.